This is a long non-coding RNA of Anneissia japonica, 1270 nucleotides long. RefSeq lists it as uncharacterized. The record is from RefSeq and is a predicted model, not a curated record. Lineage: Eukaryota; Metazoa; Echinodermata; Crinoidea; Comatulida; Comatulidae. The transcript has 2 exons.
GUUAUUAUCAGUCCGUUGAAGCCACUGAUGAUAGUUGCAGGGGUUUUUGGGUUCAUUGCUAUGGUAACUUAUGGAGGCGGCACAUAUUACGCGUGGAUAAAAUGGAAGGACAGCAAUAAACGCUCAAGAGCUCCAGAUUAUAAACCAGACUACUGAUAAAGUUUGCAUUGUCAUGCGACCAGGCGAUGUCAGUAUGUAACUUCAAGACACGACACAUAAACGUUGCAAAGCUACAGUACUUCAAGUAUAAGUAUAUGGAACGCCAAAAUGACAAACCACAAAGUCAAGUCCAUUUGGCGUUCCAUAUACGUAAUUUAAUUUACACUGACACACAACAGAGUGAACAUUCCAAAUUUAUUCUGAUAUUAUUUUGAGGGAAACUAUAAAUGCUAUGACAUGACUGAGCUAAUUAUUGUACAUACGUUUCUCGCUUUCUCAUCAUGCUCUACUAUCACCUAAAAACAACCUAUCCGAAAACAAUACUUAAAAAUUCAAAUAUAACAUGGAAUUGCGCAUGUGAAAAAAAAAUUAUCAGUUAUCAACUUUCCGAGAAAGAGACCAAAAUAAAUCAGUUUUUAUCUAAAUCUCAUUAAACCAUUUUUAACAAUUCCAUAUAAUGGUAAAGCUUGGACGUAGCAUAGUGAUAUUGAUUAAUGACGUCAAAUAGAUUUGAUGAACUUCUUUUUUAGUACGAAAACUUCUGUGGCAGAAGUGUUCUUUACAUAGUCUCCUGUACUCAUUAAAUUUUACAUAAGACUAACCUUGUGGGUAUAUAAAAUGUAUUGUGGUCUAUUUUCUAAUAAAUAAAAACCUACCAUCUCGGUAGGUGGAACACAUGUUACGUAUAUUGUAGUGUAAUAAAGCUUUGCAUAGUAUCAUUAUGUAAAUUAUAGCUAUACAAGUAGGACUACAAAAAACCAUUUUUUAAAAUCACAUAUAAAUAUAUAAUCUUUCUAAUUAUUAACUGUUUUAACUCACCAUGUAUAUAAAAGAGGUACAAAAAUCAUUGAACAAUAUGGAUGUUUUGAUUGCACUAAAUUAUACUAUAUUCCAUAUAAGUAACUUUGCACUAAAAGGAGGUUUAAUCAACUAUAAAACAUGCAGUUCACUAUGUCUACAUUGCAGUUCAUUCAUGCCCAUAUAUAGUUACAUCAUGUGGAACAAAUCACAUCAUAGGUACCGUAGCCAGUGACGUAUCUAAGGGAGUGCGUAAAGGGGGGAACACACGUCCCCAAAAAAUUACUCGCACACCUAGUCUCCCCCCACCCCC